RNAcentral lists this ribosomal RNA (253 nucleotides) under uncultured bacterium. RNAcentral's name for it is "partial 16S ribosomal RNA". It matches the Rfam family "Bacterial small subunit ribosomal RNA", at positions 524 to 776 of the family's 1533-position model. The record is from RNAcentral.
UACGUAGGGGGCAAGCGUUGUUCGGAUUUACUGGGCGUAAAGGGCGCGUAGGCGGUGCGGUAAGUCACUUGUGAAGUCUCUGAGCUUAACUCAGAACGGCCAAGUGAUACUGCAGUGCUAGAGUGCGGAAGGGGCAAUCGGAAUUCUUGGUGUAGCGGUGAAAUGCGUAGAUAUCAAGAGGAACACCGGUGGCGAAGGCGGGUCUCUGGGCCGAUACUGACGCUGAGGAGCGAAAGCGUGGGGAGCGAACAGG